Long non-coding RNA from Etheostoma cragini (Arkansas darter), 480 nucleotides. RefSeq lists it as uncharacterized. The transcript is spliced from 4 exons. The record is from RefSeq and is a predicted model, not a curated record. Lineage: Eukaryota; Metazoa; Chordata; Actinopteri; Perciformes; Percidae.
ACUCUCAAUCUUCCUGCAAGUCUUUGCCUGAUACUGCCUGUUUCAGGUGCAACAGGGCAAGUCACAAUUAGAGGUUGGAUGAUCAGCUUUGAGGGCCGUGUAAUCUCUGAGGGCUUCACACCAACAUUUGCAAGAGGACUUGCUGCUGUGUUUGCAAUCUACUACAUAUUCAACCUUCAGUAUCAAGAUGAAGCAGUCUGCACUCUGGAAUUCAUUCAGAGGCGCUUCAUUGGUAUAAACCCAGAGAGAGAGACAAAUGCCAAGAGGGACAAGGUUCUCUCCAAGAAUAAAGGUGUGAUCAUCCAGAAGAAGACUUCUGCAGUCAAUACACACUUCGCCAUGCUACUGAAAAAUCUCCUUGACUUUGAAUGGAACUUCAUUUAGAUCGUGGCAACACUGGAAUAAUGCUGCAGAGUGGAACAGCGGCUACCAAAAUGAUAGUCAUCUCUCCUGGAUCCACGAGAAGGGAGAUGUAAAAAC